UAGUUGGUAGGGUAAAGGCCUACCAAGGCGACGAUCUAUAGCUGGUCUGAGAGGACGAUCAGCCACACUGGGACUGAGACACGGCCCAGACUCCUACGGGAGGCAGCAGUGGGGAAUAUUGGACAAUGGGCGCAAGCCUGAUCCAGCAAUACCGCGUGUGUGAAGAAGGCCCUAGGGUUGUAAAGCACUUUCAAUGGGGAGGAAAACCUGCCGGCCAAUACCCGGUAGCUUGACAUUACCUAUAGAAGAAGCACCGGCUAACUCCGUGCCAGCAGCCGCGGUAAUACGGAGGGUGCGAGCGUUAAUCGGAAUUACUGGGCGUAAAGCGUGCGUAGGCGGUUCGUUAAGUCAGAUGUGAAAGCCCCGGGCUCAACCUGGGAACUGCAUUUGAAACUGGCGAACUAGAGUUGGGUAGAGGGGAGUGGAAUUUCAGGUGUAGCGGUGAAAUGCGUAGAUAUCUGAAGGAACACCAGUGGCGAAGGCGACUCCCUGGACUCAAACUGACGCUGAGGUACGAAAGCGUGGGUAGCAAACAGGAUUAGAUACCCUGGUAGUCCACGCCGUAAACGAUGUCAACUAGCCGUUGGUCCUAUUUACAGGAUUAGUGGCGCAGCUAACGCAUUAAGUUGACCGCCUGGGGAGUACGGCCGCAAGGUUAAAACUUAAAGGAAUUGACGG
Molecule: ribosomal RNA, 678 nt
Filed under: uncultured Methylobacter sp.
Lineage: Bacteria; Pseudomonadati; Pseudomonadota; Gammaproteobacteria; Methylococcales; Methylococcaceae
Description: bacterial SSU rRNA
Rfam family: Bacterial small subunit ribosomal RNA
Source: RNAcentral